This 253-nucleotide ribosomal RNA is filed under the name uncultured bacterium. RNAcentral's name for it is "partial 16S ribosomal RNA". It matches the Rfam family "Bacterial small subunit ribosomal RNA", at positions 524 to 776 of the family's 1533-position model. The record is from RNAcentral.
UACGUAGGGCGCAAGCGUUGUCCGGAAUUAUUGGGCGUAAAGAGCUCGUAGGCGGCUUGUCACGUCGGAUGUGAAAGCCCGGGGCUUAACCCCGGGUCUGCAUUCGAUACGGGCAGGCUAGAGUGUGGUAGGGGAGAUCGGAAUUCCUGGUGUAGCGGUGAAAUGCGCAGAUAUCAGGAGGAACACCGAUGGCGAAGGCGGAUCUCUGGGCCAUUACUGACGCUGAGGAGCGAAAGCGUGGGGAGCGAACAGG